Molecule: ribosomal RNA, 492 nt
Filed under: uncultured bacterium
Lineage: Bacteria
Description: partial 16S ribosomal RNA
Rfam family: Bacterial small subunit ribosomal RNA
Source: RNAcentral
AGUGAACGCUGGCGGUAGGCCUAACACAUGCAAGUCGAACGGCAGCACAGUAAGAGCUUGCUCUUACGGGUGGCGAGUGGCGGACGGGUGAGGAAUACAUCGGAAUCUACUUUUUCGUGGGGGUUAACGUAGGGAAACUUACGCUAAUACCGCAUACGACCUACGGGUGAAAGCAGGGGAUCUUCGGACCUUGCGCGAUUGAAUGAGCCGAUGUCGGAUUAGCUAGUUGGCGGGGUAAAGGCCCACCAAGGCGACGAUCCGUAGCUGGUCUGAGAGGAUGAUCAGCCACACUGGAAGUGAGACACGGUCCAGACUCCUACGGGAGGCAGCAGUGGGGAAUAUUGGACAAUGGGCGCAAGCCUGAUCCAGCCAUACCGCGUGGGUGAAGAAGGCCUUCGGGUUGUAAAGCCCUUUUGUUGGGAAAGAAAAGCAGCAGGUUAAUACCCCGCUGUUCUGACGGUACCCAAAGAAUAAGCACCGGCUAACUUCGUG